RNAcentral lists this ribosomal RNA (481 nucleotides) under uncultured bacterium. Its description in RNAcentral is "partial 16S ribosomal RNA". It matches the Rfam family "Bacterial small subunit ribosomal RNA", at positions 30 to 507 of the family's 1533-position model. The record is from RNAcentral.
AUUGAACGCUGGCGCAUGCCUUACACAUGCAAGUCGAACGGUAACAGGUCUUCGGAUGCUGACGAGUGGCGAACGGGUGAGUAAUACAUCGGAACGUGCCCGAUCGUGGGGGAUAACGCAGCGAAAGCUGUGCUAAUACCGCAUACGAUCUACGGAUGAAAGCGGGGGAUCGCAAGACCUCGCGCGGACGGAGCGGCCGAUGGCAGAUUAGGUAGUUGGUGGGAUAAAAGCUUACCAAGCCGACGAUCUGUAGCUGGUCUGAGAGGACGACCAGCCACACUGGGACUGAGACACGGCCCAGACUCCUACGGGAGGCAGCAGUGGGGAAUUUUGGACAAUGGGCGCAAGCCUGAUCCAGCCAUGCCGCGUGCAGGAUGAAGGCCUUCGGGUUGUAAACUGCUUUUGUACGGAACGAAAAAGCUCUCUCUAAUACAGGGGGUGAAUGACGGUACCGUAAGAAUAAGCACCGGCUAACUACGUG